GACGAACGCUGGCGGCGUGCUUAACACAUGCAAGUCGAACGGAAAGGCCCUGCUUGCAGGGUACUCGAGUGGCGCACGGGUGAGUAACACGUGGGUGAUCUGCCCUGCACUUCGGGAUAAGCCUGGGAAACUGGGUCUAAUACCGGAUAGGAGCCCUUUUUAGUGUGAUGGUUGGAAAGUUUUUUCGGUGUAGGAUGAGCUCGCGGCCUAUCAGCUUGUUGGUGGGGUAAUGGCCUACCAAGGCGGCGACGGGUAGCCGGCCUGCGAGGGUGGACGGCCACAGUGGGACUGAGAUACGGCCCAGACUCCGACGGGGGGGAGCAGGGGGGAAUAUUGCACAAUGGGCGCAAGCCUGAUGCAGCGACGCCGCGGGGGGGAUGACGGCCUUCGGGUUGGAAAAUCCUUUCGCUAGGGACGAAGCUUUUUGUGACGGUACCUAGAUAAGAAGCACCGGCUAACUACGUG
RNAcentral lists this ribosomal RNA (465 nucleotides) under uncultured bacterium. RNAcentral's name for it is "partial 16S ribosomal RNA". It matches the Rfam family "Bacterial small subunit ribosomal RNA", at positions 28 to 507 of the family's 1533-position model. The record is from RNAcentral.